RNAcentral lists this ribosomal RNA (433 nucleotides) under uncultured bacterium. RNAcentral's name for it is "bacterial SSU rRNA". It matches the Rfam family "Bacterial small subunit ribosomal RNA", at positions 354 to 796 of the family's 1533-position model. The record is from RNAcentral.
GUCGAGAAUCUUCGGCAAUGGGCGCAAGCCUGACCGAGCGACGCCGCGUGGAGGACGAAGGCCUUCGGGUUGUAAACUCCUGUCGAGGGGGAAGAAGCCGCAAGGUUGACUGAUCCCUGGAGGAAGCACGGGCUAAGUUCGUGCCAGCAGCCGCGGUAAGACGAACCGUGCGAACGUUAUUCGGAAUCACUGGGCUUAAAGCGCGUGUAGGCGGGACGGCACGUCGGUGACUGAAAGCCCCCGGCUCAACCGGGGAAGUGGUGCCGAUACGACCGUUCUCGAGGGGCGUAGGGGGAACUGGAACUUCCGGUGGAGCGGUGAAAUGCGUUGAGAUCGGAAGGAACGCCCGUGGCGAAAGCGAGUUCCUGGACGCCUGCUGACGCUGAGACGCGAAAGCCAGGGGAGCGAACGGGAUUAGAUACCCCAGUAGUCC